RNAcentral lists this long non-coding RNA (1577 nucleotides) under Prunus persica (peach). RNAcentral describes it as "long non-coding RNA (PPER_LNC002571)". The record is from RNAcentral. Lineage: Eukaryota; Viridiplantae; Streptophyta; Magnoliopsida; Rosales; Rosaceae.
GGCAGUUUGGUCCCAUGCAAAAGCCAUAAAUUGGUACCAUUUUUUCUGUGGCAGAAUUCAAAAAUAUAACAGCUGGAAAAAGGUAGGCUGGUGAAUGGUGAUAGAAAAUAUGACAUGAAGCAGAGGAUAAUAUAGUCCAUUUCAUGCCAGGGUGUCAAAUCAGAGAGGCACAGAGAGAUGCAUGAUGAAGUGAAGGACACACUUAAGGCCACUUUCAUUGCUCAGGUUUUACCAGGGCAGGAGGGGAUUCAGGGGCCAAAAUGCAACUCCACCGCGCUAAGUUCAUUUCGGGCACGGGAUGGGUUCCACGAGUUCAGGCGAGUCCAUGAUCAUGUGUAACUUCAGCCCGAGCUGCUGUCGGGGCCAAAUGACACAAUGCUACGUCAUAAUGACGUAAGUAACAAAAAUGUAUUUAAAAAAUAUCACAAAUUUCAGAAUUUUUUAUUAUUAUUUAUAAAUACUUAUAUUCUUUACUUCUCACAUCAAAAACUCUAUACGAAUUUAUCUUUUUAUAUCUUAUGUGAAUAAUAAUUACCCUUAAAAACAAAUUUGUAAAAGCUGUCACUAUUAUUCGACCUCUAAAUUAGUAUAGUGUGGUAGAGUAGUAACAGGCAGGCAAGCACCCUCCACCCUUCACGGGUCCUGAUUGCAUGCCACGACCUCUCAUUUUGACUGGUCCCCACAAUCACUUUUUGUUUUAAUGUUUUCAACUUUCUUUAGUUUCUGAUAUGAAUAAUUUUAGCAGUUCAUUAGAGGCGAGUAAAGAUGACCUACUCGCAUUAAAACUGCAUUUUAGGCGUCUAAAUUUCUUUGAUCGGGUUAAUUUUUUGACAUGUUAUAGUAGAGAUGAAGAGGAACAAGUUUGAUGAAGGGAGAAUUUCGAUUUGAGCUCAGGAAGUUGAUGCUUUGGACCUGUAAGCAGGGCUGACGAGUUUGAUAGCUGAGAAGUGCUCGGGAGAGAAUUCUUUGGAAAAUCUUGAGUUUUAAAAGAAGCUACUCGGCAGAGAAAAGAACAAAAGAUAAAAGAAGGCAUGUGUGGGAGACAAAUGAAGAUGGCGUGAGAACAAAAGAUAAAAAUAAUGCACAACUAGGCAGAUAAACAUUUCAUCUAAGAAGCCACUCACCCACUCCACCAUUUGAAACCCACAAAAUGUGGCCAAGUGGUCUUGAUUCUCUGGUUGUCUUAAAUUUAAUGGACUUUUGUUUGUUUAUUCAAUGGUCUCUCUUUUGGCUCAAUUUGUCUUUCUUUUUUUCCCUAUGUUUUUUAAUUUUUAAUUAAUGUAACACUUUAUUACUACUUAGAGCAUGUCCACCGCAGCUCUUUUAGCCAGGGCAAGAGGCCCAUUUCUUCACUUUUGGACCUCCAGCGCAGCGUCUGCAGCCUGGGCAAGUCCUGGGUCCUACCAGCCUGGGCAAGCCCCUGGGCAGAUUUUGCCUGGGCUUCAGCCCGAGUUUGCUGAUGUCAGUGGUGAUGUCACGCUGACAUCAGCGAGUCAAAAAAAUGGAAAAAAAAUGGAAAAAAAAUCAAAAUUUUUUUUAAAAAAAAAACCAAAAAAAUUAUGGAUGUUUUCUCUAUA